UGGACGUCGAGGACGAACGGCCUGGGCGGCGGUGGAUUAGGCAAUGCGAAAGUCGGGACGGUAGGGCUUUAUCGUAAGAUAGAGUUUGAGAGUAGGCGAACGGGUGAGUAACACGUAGGAAUCUACCCCUUAAGACGGGGACAACCCCAGGGGAAACUUGGGCUAAUACCGGAAUGAGAGUGCGAGAGAUUGCAUUUAAAAGGAUGGCGAAAGUUGUCGCUUAGGGAUGAGCCUGCGGUCUAUUAGUUAGUUGGUGAGGUAAGAGCUCACCAAGGCGAUGAUAGAUAGGCGGCCUUAACGGGUGGUCGCCCACACUGGGAUUGAGAUACGGCCCAGACUCCUACGGGAGGCAGCAGUCGAGAAUAGUCUACAAUGGCCGGAAGGCUGAUAGUGCGACGCCGCGUGAACGAGGGAGCCCUUCGGGGUGUAAAGUUCUUUUCUAUACGAGCAGUGCUAUAUAUAUGGAUAGUAUAUAUAGAGGGAUAGUAGUAUAGGAAUAAGCAACGGCUAACUCCGUG
RNAcentral lists this ribosomal RNA (518 nucleotides) under uncultured bacterium. Its description in RNAcentral is "bacterial SSU rRNA". It matches the Rfam family "Bacterial small subunit ribosomal RNA", at positions 38 to 507 of the family's 1533-position model. The record is from RNAcentral.